GCUCCCAUGGCGUAGUGGUCACUGCACUUGCCUUGCACGCGGGAGACCCGGGUUCGAUUCCCGGCGGGGGCA
This 72-nucleotide transfer RNA is filed under the name Diaphorina citri (Asian citrus psyllid). It matches the Rfam family "tRNA". From Rfam's summary of the family: Transfer RNA (tRNA) molecules are approximately 80 nucleotides in length. Their secondary structure includes four short double-helical elements and three loops (D, anti-codon, and T loops). The record is from Rfam by way of RNAcentral. Lineage: Eukaryota; Metazoa; Arthropoda; Insecta; Hemiptera; Psyllidae.